GAGUCCCACCCGGGGUCCUUAGAAACAGGACGGGCCGCGCCCGAGUCCCACCUGGGGUCCUUAGAAACAGGGCUUGGCCUGCUUUCACCCACCCUAGUGCUCACCCCCUGGAGGACUGGCUGGCCCUGUGUCACCUACUGAGCACGCAGGACAGUCUGAACAGCAGGGAGGAAGGGCUCCAGAGCGGCCUCGGGAGGACUUCCUGGGUGGGGCUCACCUGCUUUCACAGAAGCAGCGUUUACCAGCCCCUCCUGCCCGCCAGGGUUACCCAGGGAGCAACGGGGGACGUGAGACCGAAGCCCAUGCCCCUGGCACACAUGGCUCCUGGCACACAUGAGCUCCCGGAGGCCAGAUGGCGCCCACACCUUUGGGUCACAGCAACCCGGAGUGGGAGGAUGGGGUGGGGCAGCACUGGCCUGGCCAUGCCCCCUGGCAGCCACCUUGCCCUCACACGCCCCCUCAGCAGCCUGCCUUGGAAUCAGGUCCCCAAGUUUAAAUCAUCACAAGAUGAUUUACUUACUCAUCGCUGCAAGAGCUGGGCAGAGGUCAGCGAGCAAAGAGGGAGCUUCCGGCCUUUCCCAGGACCCUGUUCCUCCCACCGAGGAAUUGCCAAGGGGCCAGUUCCCACACGCACACCCAGCCACCCAGGCUGAGAUGAGCCACCAGGGUGCCAGAGCCAGGGACUGAGGGUGGCAUGGCCUCUCUAAGCUCCAAGACGGGCAGAGCUACGCUGCUUGUGGCCUCAGGCUGGCGUGGGCGUGGCGGGGGCACAGCCAGGGUUCUGACACAUGCCCACCCCCAUCUCAGCCCUGUCUGCUGC
This is a long non-coding RNA of Bos taurus (domestic cattle), 820 nucleotides long. Lineage: Eukaryota; Metazoa; Chordata; Mammalia; Artiodactyla; Bovidae. The record is from Ensembl.